RNAcentral lists this long non-coding RNA (567 nucleotides) under Mytilus galloprovincialis (Mediterranean mussel). The record is from RNAcentral. Lineage: Eukaryota; Metazoa; Mollusca; Bivalvia; Mytilida; Mytilidae.
CCUAGCUAAAAAAUGUAUUUAUAAGUAUUGAAUGCUUCUUUUUGUAACUUCAUAGGGUUGUAAAAGCGUUGACCGUGCGCACAUUUUUAGAAUGAAGCGCUUCUUACAAAAUGUACUUCGGUCAACGCUUUUACACCCCAAUGAAGUUACAAAAAAAGCAUUCAAUACUUAAAAUAAAUAUGAACAAGGACAUCCUGUGUUAUGCAAACAUGUGUAUUUCGGCACAAGCGAUGACCUAUAGACCGUGUGUAUCAUAUGUAUAUAUAGGGUGGGUUGCUCCGAAUUAAGGAGGUAUAAAUACAGGAAAAUAAAGCAAAAAAAAAAAAAAUACAAAAUUAGAAUAGUCUAAGAGUAUAACGGGCAAAAUAAAGAACAGAGGAAAAUCGUAAAAGAAAAUUAAGGAAAAUGGUAUAAGAAAAAUCAGGAAUAGAGGGAAAUGGUCUAGUUUUUUGCCGGACAAUUGUUGAUGAUUGUUUUUUUUAAAGUAAAGUGCAUUUAUAGGACUGGUAAAAUAAUACACAAUCGUUUGUACAUUGGUAGGGAUUUAUGUUUGGAGUUGAUGAGGCA